GUCUUCGUGGCGCAAUUGGCUAGCGCGUUUGACCGUUAGCUACUACCUAUAAUAUGUGUAUCUAAUAUCAGGAGGUUCCUGGUUCAAGCCCAGGCGAGGACG
Non-coding RNA from Gaeumannomyces tritici R3-111a-1, 102 nucleotides. The record is from the annotation of a RefSeq genome assembly. Lineage: Eukaryota; Fungi; Ascomycota; Sordariomycetes; Magnaporthales; Magnaporthaceae.